Pezoporus flaviventris is the source of this 331-nucleotide long non-coding RNA. RefSeq lists it as uncharacterized. The record is from RefSeq and is a predicted model, not a curated record. NCBI's taxonomy places the organism in Eukaryota, Metazoa, Chordata, Aves, Psittaciformes, Psittacidae. The transcript has 2 exons.
GCCUUCCCGGGGGCAGAGAGCUGCCUCCGUGCCUCUGCUGCCGACACCCUCACCCACGGCUUCUUUGUGGCUGUCCUGGAGCGGCGCGGGGACGGGGCCGCUGCCUCGAGCUCCCUGCCUGCGGCUGCUGAUGACAGCCCGCAGCAUGGCAAGGGAACAGAGCCAGGAGCAGCUCCCAGGAAGAGGAAGAGGAAAAAGCAGCGGGUAAAGGAGGGAAACGACCCUUUUUAGGACUGUGCAGUGCCCAGCUGGGGCUGGUGGGGAUUGUCACCUUGCUGCCUGCCUGAGCUGUGGCACAGCCUCCCAUCAUUGGUAAAGUCAGCUGGGUUAA